RNAcentral lists this ribosomal RNA (494 nucleotides) under Diaporthe sp. olrim961. RNAcentral describes it as "eukaryotic LSU rRNA". The stretch from base 166 to 319 matches the Rfam family "5.8S ribosomal RNA". The record is from RNAcentral. Lineage: Eukaryota; Fungi; Ascomycota; Sordariomycetes; Diaporthales; Diaporthaceae.
UCGGCGCACCCAGAAACCCUUUGUGAACUUAUACCCAAACUGUUGCCUCGGCGCAGGCCGGCCUCUUUCGUUAGGGGCCCCCUGGAGACAGGGAGCAGCCCGCCGGCGGCCGACCAAACUCUGUUUCUAUAGUGAAUCUCUGAGAAAAAAACAUAAAUGAAUCAAAACUUUCAACAACGGAUCUCUUGGUUCUGGCAUCGAUGAAGAACGCAGCGAAAUGCGAUAAGUAAUGUGAAUUGCAGAAUUCAGUGAAUCAUCGAAUCUUUGAACGCACAUUGCGCCCUCUGGUAUUCCGGAGGGCAUGCCUGUUCGAGCGUCAUUUCAACCCUCAAGCCUGGCUUGGUGAUGGGGCACUGCCUGUAAGAGGGCAGGCCCUGAAAUCUAGUGGCGUGCUCGCCAGGACCCCGAGCGUAGUAGUUACAUCUCGCUCUGGAAGGCCCUGGCGGUGCCCUGCCGUUAAACCCCCAACUUCUGAAAAUUUGACCUCGGAUCAG